This 497-nucleotide ribosomal RNA is filed under the name uncultured bacterium. Its description in RNAcentral is "partial 16S ribosomal RNA". It matches the Rfam family "Bacterial small subunit ribosomal RNA", at positions 28 to 507 of the family's 1533-position model. The record is from RNAcentral.
GACGAACGCUGGCGGCGUGCCUAAUACAUGCAAGUUGAGCGCUGAAGGUUGGUACUUGUACCGACUGGAUGAGCAGCGAACGGGUGAGUAACGCGUGGGGAAUCUGCCUUUGAGCGGGGGACAACAUUUGGAAACGAAUGCUAAUACCGCAUAAAAACUUUAAACACAAGUUUUAAGUUUGAAAGAUGCAAUUGCAUCACUCAAAGAUGAUCCCGCGUUGUAUUAGCUAGUUGGUGAGGUAAAGGCUCACCAAGGCGAUGAUACAUAGCCGACCUGAGAGGGUGAUAGGCCACAUUGGGACUGAGACACGGCCCAAACUCCUACGGGAGGCAGCAGUAGGGAAUCUUCGGCAAGGGACGAAAGUCUGACCGAGCAACGCCGCGUGAGUGAAGAAGGUUUUCGGACCGUAAAACUCUGUUGGUAGAGAAGAACGUUGGUGAGAGUGGAAAGCUCAUCAAGUGACGGUAACUACCCAGAAAGGGACGGCUAACUACGUG